ACUUGGGAAUCUGCCCAGUAGUGGGGGACAACAUUCGGAAACGGAUGCUAAUACCGCAUACGCACUACGGUGGAAAGUGGGGGAUCUUCGGACCUCACGCUAUUGGAUGAGCCCAAGUCGGAUUAGCUUGUUGGUGAGGUAAUGGCUCACCAAGGCGACGAUCCGUAGCUGGUCUGAGAGGACGAUCAGCCACACUGGGACUGAGACACGGCCCAGACUCCUACGGGAGGCAGCGGUGGGGAAUAUUGGACAAUGGGCGCAAGUGAUCCAGCAAUGCCGCGUGUGUGAAGAAGGCCUGCGGGUUGUAAAGCACUUUCAGUAGAGAAGAAAAGCCUACGCUAAUACCCGUGAGUCUUGACGUAACCUACAGAAGAAGCACCGGCUAACUCCGUGCCAGCAGCCGCGGUAAUACGGAGGGUGCGAGCGUUAAUCGGAAUUACUGGGCGUAAAGCGCGCGUAGGGGCUUUGUAAGUCGGAUGUGAAAGCCCAGGGCUUAACCUUGGAAUUGCAUUCGAUACUGC
RNAcentral lists this ribosomal RNA (521 nucleotides) under uncultured bacterium. Its description in RNAcentral is "bacterial SSU rRNA". It matches the Rfam family "Bacterial small subunit ribosomal RNA", at positions 115 to 636 of the family's 1533-position model. The record is from RNAcentral.